GCACUCGAGGACGUAUCAACAGAGACCCAAGCUCCGGAACCACCAAUAUGGAGAUGUCAGGUAGACGCUUCAUGGAUAAGUACUCGGGAGGCUACUGGUCUAGGUUUCGUGAUAAUAAAUGCAGGAACGACAACUCUGUUUGGGGCAAAGAGAGUAAGCACGGCGGAAUCUCCUCUACAUGCAGAGGCUGAAGGGCUCGUAUGGGCAAUGCAGGAAUCGCUAAACAGAGGAUACAUGUCAGUGCACUUUGAAUCAGAUUGUCAACAAUUAGUGAAUCUAUUACAACGAGAUGAAAAGGAGUGGCCGGCAUUGGCAUCAGAACUGGAUGAAAUUAAAGCUCUGUGUACUAGCUUCGACACUUUCUCUAUUGCGUAUGUUUCACGGUCUCUCAACAUCCGUGCGGAUGGCCUAGCAAAAGGGGUCCGUUCACGCGAUCUCAGGGUUACUUAUGUUCAAAGCUGCGCUCCAUGGUGGCUAGCCCCUGUUGCUAACCAAAUGGAUGCAGUCUAAGUUUGGUUUUUUAUUUCGAUGUCAAAAAAAAAAAAAAAGAAUAAAAAUAUCUUGUAACUGGUCAUAUAUUGUUUCAUUGUUCUAUAACUUCGAAGUAUGACCGGUUCUGGCUGGGUCUGUUGUUCGGUUCGAUGCGUUCUCCAGCCUCCGAUUCGGUUCAUCAACUGUGUCGGGGGUGGGGGGGAGGUGGUUCUUUCUAGUAGCAAUAGAUUAAGUGAUUGAGGGGCAAAAGAAACAUUCUCAUAUGUUGUUAAAGGAUGGCUACUUCUUUAGUUGAGCUACUUCUCUGGAUCUUUUAUUAGAUCGUUAUGGCGGUUCCGUUUUUUUCAUGGUUUCCUUUUCCACCGUUUUGUGCUCGCCCAGCACAAUAAGAGCUUGGUUUGACAGCGGUUGUUUUGUUGGCUUUUCUUUUCAGAUAGUAGAUUUUCACUUGAAAGCUUUGGUUGUAGAGACUCUCGCGAUCAACGAGUGCUUUUGCGAAUGAACGGUUUUUAUGCAGUGGUGUGGAGUCGCUAUCCGUGAUGCAAAUAUUCCGGCUAGAUCGGUGCAAUCACAACACACGAUUGUAUCUUUAUUUGGGAUCUUCGGUUUUCACCGGACCGAUCUUUUUUGUUCCUUAUGCAUUUAAUUGGGUUUUUAAUUUGUUGUAGUUGUUCGCAUUAGAAGUGGUAGCCAAAAAACGUUGUAGGUGCUUGUAUGGUUUUGGAAUGGCCUUUCUACUGUCAGUAGUGAAAAUGAGCAUUGGCUAGGCAUCAGC
RNAcentral lists this long non-coding RNA (1267 nucleotides) under Brassica rapa (field mustard). RNAcentral describes it as "long non-coding RNA (BRAP_LNC004693)". The record is from RNAcentral. Lineage: Eukaryota; Viridiplantae; Streptophyta; Magnoliopsida; Brassicales; Brassicaceae.